This 507-nucleotide ribosomal RNA is filed under the name uncultured bacterium. RNAcentral's name for it is "partial 16S ribosomal RNA". It matches the Rfam family "Bacterial small subunit ribosomal RNA", at positions 28 to 507 of the family's 1533-position model. The record is from RNAcentral.
GACGAACGCUGGCGGCGUGCCUAAUACAUGCAAGUCGAACGCAUUUUCUUUCACCGUAGCUUGCUACACCGAAAGAAAAUGAGUGGCGAACGGGUGAGUAACACGUGGGUAACCUGCCCAUCAGCGGGGGAUAACACUUGGAAACAGGUGCUAAUACCGCAUAAUUCCAUUUACCGCAUGGUAGAUGGAUGAAAGGCGCUUUUGCGUCACUGAUGGAUGGACCCGCGGUGCAUUAGCUAGUUGGUGGGGUAACGGCCUACCAAGGCUGCGAUGCAUAGCCGACCUGAGAGGGUGAUCGGCCACACUGGGACGGAGACACGGCCCAGACUCCUACGGGAGGCAGCAGUAGGGAAUCUUCGGCAAUGGACACAAGUCUGACCGAGCAACGCCGCGUGAGUGAAGAAGGUUUUCGGAUCGUAAAACUCUGUUGUUAGAGAAGAACAAGGAUGAGAGUGGAAAGUUCAUCCCUUGACGGUAUCUAACCAGAAAGCCACGGCUAACUACGUG